AUACGAAGGGUGCGAGCGUUAAUCGGAAUUACUGGGCGUAAAGCGCGCGUAGGCGGUUGGAUAAGUCGGAUGUGAAAGCCCCGGGCUCAACCUGGGAAUUGCAUUCGAAACUGUCCGGCUAGAGUAUGGUAGAGGGAAGCGGAAUUCCACAUGUAGCGGUGAAAUGCGUAGAUAUGCGGAGGAACACCAGUGGCGAAGGCGGCUUCCUGGACCAAUACUGACGCUUAGGUGCGAAAGCGUGGGGAGCAAACAGGAUUAGAUACCCUAGUAGUCC
Molecule: ribosomal RNA, 274 nt
Filed under: uncultured bacterium
Lineage: Bacteria
Description: partial 16S ribosomal RNA
Rfam family: Bacterial small subunit ribosomal RNA
Source: RNAcentral